CCUUAAGCUGAAUUAUAAGAAUGCUAGUAACAAACACUUGUCCACAAUUGCACCUUUAGUACUCAAACAUGAUUAAACUUGUAAUGUUGACUGGCACAAAGCCAGAGGUGUGAUGCAGACUGUAGUACAGGGGCAGAUUCUGGUUACUCAAGUACAGAUGCAGAGGAGAAAGGGAGCCCACCGCUCCUUCACCCUCCUAUGCAAAAAAACCCCACCAGACUCCAGCAGGUUUGAUCAUAUUGGCAACAAGAUAUUGAAGGAUGACCAGAUUGUCCAGGGAGAAUAAUGCAACAUACAGCCAGCCAGCAACUGGGAGUCUCCCCUACAGAUCUAAG
Long non-coding RNA from Dermochelys coriacea (leatherback sea turtle), 335 nucleotides. RefSeq lists it as uncharacterized. The record is from RefSeq and is a predicted model, not a curated record. Lineage: Eukaryota; Metazoa; Chordata; Testudines; Dermochelyidae. The transcript is spliced from 3 exons.